RNAcentral lists this ribosomal RNA (492 nucleotides) under uncultured bacterium. Its description in RNAcentral is "partial 16S ribosomal RNA". It matches the Rfam family "Bacterial small subunit ribosomal RNA", at positions 29 to 507 of the family's 1533-position model. The record is from RNAcentral.
AGUGAACGCUGGCGGUAGGCCUAACACAUGCAAGUCGAACGGCAGCACAGUAAUAGCUUGCUCUUACGGGCGGCGCGUGGCGGACGGGUGAGUAAUACUUCGGAUUCUACUUUUUCGUGGGUGAUAACGCCGGGAAACUUACACUAAUACCACAUACGUCCUACGGGUGAAAGCCGGGGAUCUUCGGACCUUGCGCGAUUGUAUAAGCCUAUGUCGCCUUAGCUAGUUGGCGGGGUAAAGGCCCACCAAGGCGACGAUCCGUAGCUGGUCUGAGACGAUCGUCAGCCACACUGGAUCAGAGGCACGGUAGAGACUCCGACGGUAAGAAGCAGUGGAGAAUAUUGGACGAGGGGCGAGUGCGUGAUCCAGGCAAACCGCGUGAAUCAAGAUGGCCUUAGGGUUGGAAAGCCCUGUUGUUGGGAGAAAAAAGCAGCAGGUUUAUCCCGCGCUAUUCUGACGGUACCCAAAGAAUAAGCACCGGCUAACUUCGUG